GACGAACGCUGGCGGCGUGCCUAAUACAUGCAAGUCGAACGAAGCUGUUUUAACUGGUGCUUGCACCGACUUAAACAACUGAGUGGCGAACGGGUGAGUAACACGUGGGUAACCUGCCCCAAAGCGGGGGAUAACAUUUGGAAACAGAUGCUAAUACCGCAUAACCACAGAAACCACAUGGUUUCUGUGCCAAAGAUGGUUUCGGCUAUCACUUUGGGAUGGACCCGCGGCGUAUUAGCUAGUUGGUAAGGUAAUGGCUUACCAAGGCAAUGAUACGUAGACGCACUGGGAGGUUGAUAGGCCACAUUGGGACUGAGACACGGCCCAAACUACUACGGGAGGAAGCAGUAGAGAAUCUUCCACAAUGGACGAAAGUCUGAUGGGGCAACGCCGCGUGAGUGAAGGAGGUUUUCGGACCGUAAAACUCUGUUGUCAGAGAAGAACGUGUGCGAGAGUAACUGCUCGUGCAGUGACGGUAUCUGGCCAGAAAGCCACGGCUAACUACGUGCCAGCAGCCGCCGUAA
RNAcentral lists this ribosomal RNA (524 nucleotides) under uncultured bacterium. Its description in RNAcentral is "partial 16S ribosomal RNA". It matches the Rfam family "Bacterial small subunit ribosomal RNA", at positions 28 to 523 of the family's 1533-position model. The record is from RNAcentral.